UUUUGGACAAUGGGGGCAACCCUGAUCCAGCCAUGCCGCGUGAGUGAAGAAGGCCUUCGGGUUGUAAAGCUCUUUCGGACGGAACGAAAUUGGCGGGACUAAUACUCCUGUCUGAUGACGGUACCGUAAGAAGAAGCACCGGCUAACUACGUGCCAGCAGCCGCGGUAAUACGUAGGGUGCGAGCGUUAAUCGGAAUUACUGGGCGUAAAGCGUGCGCAGGCGGUUUCGUAAGCUGGAGGUGAAAUCCCCGGGCUUAACCUGGGAAUGGCCUUCAGGACUGCGAGGCUAGAGUGCGGCAGAGGGAGGUGGAAUUCCACGUGUAGCAGUGAAAUGCGUAGAGAUGUGGAGGAACACCGAUGGCGAAGGCAGCCCCCUGGGCUAACACUGACGCUCAUGCACGAAA
RNAcentral lists this ribosomal RNA (404 nucleotides) under uncultured bacterium. RNAcentral describes it as "bacterial SSU rRNA". It matches the Rfam family "Bacterial small subunit ribosomal RNA", at positions 362 to 758 of the family's 1533-position model. The record is from RNAcentral.